CCUACGGGGGGCAGCAGUGGGGAAUAUUGGACAAUGGGGGGAACCCUGAUCCAGCCAUGCCGCGUGUGUGAAGAAGGCCCUCGGGUUGUAAAUCACUUUCAGUGGGGAAGAACGCCUGGUGGUUAAUACCCAUCAGGAAAGACAUCACUCACAGAAGAAGCACCGGCUAACUCCGUGCCAGCAGCCGCGGUAAUACGGAGGGUGCGAGCGUUAAUCGGAAUUACUGGGCGUAAAGCGCGCGUAGGUGGCUUGAUAAGCCGGUUGUGAAAGCCCCGGGCUCAACCUGGGAACGGCAUCCGGAACUGUCAAGCUAGAGUGCAGGAGAGGAAGGUAGAAUUCCCGGUGUAGCGGUGAAAUGCGUAGAGAUCGGGAGGAAUACCAGUGGCGAAGGCGGCUUUCUGGACUGACACUGACACUGAGGUGCGAAAGCGUGGGUAGCAAACAGGAUUAGAUACCCGUGUAGUC
RNAcentral lists this ribosomal RNA (465 nucleotides) under Vreelandella stevensii. RNAcentral describes it as "partial 16S ribosomal RNA". It matches the Rfam family "Bacterial small subunit ribosomal RNA", at positions 338 to 795 of the family's 1533-position model. Lineage: Bacteria; Pseudomonadati; Pseudomonadota; Gammaproteobacteria; Oceanospirillales; Halomonadaceae. The record is from RNAcentral.